AAAAAAAACAGAAAAAC
RNAcentral lists this small RNA (17 nucleotides) under Arabidopsis thaliana (thale cress). Its description in RNAcentral is "ATSL287450". Lineage: Eukaryota; Viridiplantae; Streptophyta; Magnoliopsida; Brassicales; Brassicaceae. The record is from RNAcentral.